CUGCAACUGUUUAUUAAAAACACAGCACUGUGCAAACACGAAAGUGGACGUAUACGGUGUGACGCCUGCCCGGUGCCGGAAGGUUAAUUGAUGGGGUCAGCGCAAGCGAAGCUCCUGAUCGAAGCCCCGGUAAACGGCGGCCGUAACUAUAACGGUCCUAAGGUAGCGAAAUUCCUUGUCGGGUAAGUUCCGACCUGCACGAAUGGCGUAAUGAUGGCCAGGCUGUCUCCACCCGAGACUCAGUGAAAUUGAACUCGCUGUGAAGAUGCAGUGUACCCGCGGCAAGACGGAAAGACCCCGUGAACCUUUACUAUAGCUUGACACUGAACAUUGAGCCUUGAUGUGUAGGAUAGGUGGGAGGCUUUGAAGUGUGGACGCCAGUCUGCAUGGAGCCGACCUUGAAAUACCACCCUUUAAUGUUUGAUGUUCUAACGUGGACCCGUGAUCCGGGUUGCGGACAGUGUCUGGUGGGUAGUUUGACUGGGGCGGUCUCCUCCUAAAGAGUAACGGAGGAGCACGAAGGUUGGCUAAUCCUGGUCGGACAUCAGGAGGUUAGUGCAAUGGCAUAAGCCAGCUUGACUGCGAGCGUGACGGCGCGAGCAGGUGCGAAAGCAGGUCAUAGUGAUCCGGUGGUUCUGAAUGGAAGGGCCAUCGCUCAACGGAUAAAAGGUACUCCGGGGAUAACAGGCUGAUACCGCCCAAGAGUUCAUAUCGACGGCGGUGUUUGGCACCUCGAUGUCGGCUCAUCACAUCCUGGGGCUGAAGUAGGUCCCAAGGGUAUGGCUGUUCGCCAUUUAAAGUGGUACGCGAGCUGGGUUUAGAACGUCGUGAGACAGUUCGGUCCCUAUCUGCCGUGGGCGCUGGAGAACUGAGGGGGGCUGCUCCUAGUACGAGAGGACCGGAGUGGACGCAUCACUGGUGUUCGGGUUGUCAUGCCAAUGGCACUGCCCGGUAGCUAAAUGCGGAAGAGAUAAGUGCUGAAAGCAUCUAAGCACGAAACUUGCCCCGAGAUGAGUUCUCCCUGAGACUUUAGGUCUCCUGAAGGAACGUUGAAGACGACGACGUUGAUAGGCCGGGUGUGUAAGCGCAGCGAUGCGUUGAGCUAACCGGUACUAAUGAACCGUGAGGCUUAACCUUACAACGCCGAAG
Molecule: ribosomal RNA, 1149 nt
Filed under: Salmonella enterica subsp. enterica serovar Saintpaul
Lineage: Bacteria; Pseudomonadati; Pseudomonadota; Gammaproteobacteria; Enterobacterales; Enterobacteriaceae
Also listed under: 2 other names
Description: partial 23S ribosomal RNA
Rfam family: Bacterial large subunit ribosomal RNA
Source: RNAcentral